This 253-nucleotide ribosomal RNA is filed under the name uncultured bacterium. Its description in RNAcentral is "partial 16S ribosomal RNA". It matches the Rfam family "Bacterial small subunit ribosomal RNA", at positions 524 to 776 of the family's 1533-position model. The record is from RNAcentral.
UACGAAGGGUGCAAACGUUGCUCGGAAUCAUUGGGCGUAAAGCGCACGUAGGCGGCUUCGCAAGUCGGAUGUGAAAUCCCUCGGCUCAACCAAGGACGUGCAUCCGAAACUGCAGAGCUUGAGUACAGAAGAGGAUCGCGGAAUUCCCGGUGUAGAGGUGAAAUUCGUAGAUAUCGGGAGGAACACCAGUGGCGAAGGCGGCGAUCUGGGCUGAUACUGACGCUGAGGUGCGAAAGCGUGGGGAGCAAGCAGG